This 207-nucleotide ribosomal RNA is filed under the name Triticum aestivum (bread wheat). Its description in RNAcentral is "partial small subunit ribosomal RNA". Lineage: Eukaryota; Viridiplantae; Streptophyta; Magnoliopsida; Poales; Poaceae. The record is from RNAcentral.
AUGCUCUCCACCUAUGAAAAGGAAGGCCUGGCCAUUCUCUUGGCGGUAGACCACUGGCGUGCGUAUCUCCAGAAUGACGAAUUCAUAGUACACACAGACCAGUGCAGUCUCAUUCACUUGGAGGACCAGCGACUAGCGACACCAUGGCAGCAGAAGAUCAUGGCCAAGCUGCUCGGGCUCCGCUAUCGCAUCAUCUACAAAAAAUGA